Regulatory RNA element from Psychrobacillus sp. FJAT-21963, 101 nucleotides. It matches the Rfam family "Purine riboswitch aptamer". From Rfam's summary of the family: Riboswitches are metabolite binding domains within certain messenger RNAs that serve as precision sensors for their corresponding targets. Allosteric rearrangement of mRNA structure is mediated by ligand binding, and this results in modulation of gene expression. The record is from Rfam. NCBI's taxonomy places the organism in Bacteria, Bacillati, Bacillota, Bacilli, Caryophanales, Bacillaceae.
AGAAAUGGACGAUUAUCUCCCCAUAUAUGCUAAAGAAUUGGCUUUAGCGUCUCUACCAAGUCACCGUAAAUGACAGGACUAUGAGGGAAAGCGACUUUUGG